GACGAACGCUGGCGGCGUGCUUAACACAUGCAAGUCGAACGGAAAGGCCCUGCUUUUGUGGGGUGCUCGAGUGGCGAACGGGUGAGUAACACGUGAGUAACCUGCCCUUGACUUUGGGAUAACUUCAGGAAACUGGGGCUAAUACCGGAUAGGAGCUCCUGCUGCAUGGUGGGGGUUGGAAAGUUUCGGCGGUUGGGGAUGGACUCGCGGCUUAUCAGCUUGUUGGGGGGGAGGGGCUUACCAAGGCUUUGACGGGUAGCCGGCCUGAGAGGGUGAACGGCCACAUUGGGACUGAGAUACGGCGCAGACUCCUACGGGAGGCAGCAGUGGGGAAUAUUGCACAAUGGGCGGAAGCCUGAUGCAGCAACGCCGCGUGCGGGAUGACGGCUUUCGGGUUGUAAACCGCUUUCGCCUGUGACGAAGCGUGAGUGACGGUAAUGGGUAAAGAAGCACCGGCUAACUACGUG
RNAcentral lists this ribosomal RNA (467 nucleotides) under uncultured bacterium. Its description in RNAcentral is "partial 16S ribosomal RNA". It matches the Rfam family "Bacterial small subunit ribosomal RNA", at positions 28 to 507 of the family's 1533-position model. The record is from RNAcentral.